RNAcentral lists this long non-coding RNA (337 nucleotides) under Rhinopithecus bieti (black snub-nosed monkey). RNAcentral's name for it is "lncRNA (ENSRBIG00000046111.1)". The record is from RNAcentral. Lineage: Eukaryota; Metazoa; Chordata; Mammalia; Primates; Cercopithecidae.
CAAAGAAACAGCCGCGUAAAGGCCUUGAGGUCCCGCAGGGAAGGGUCCCGGCGCACAGAGACCAGCACAGGCGGCAGCAGCCGGUCUGUCCCGCGCGUGGAGCCUCUGGCGGCGGAGCGCGGCUGCCCCCUCCUGGGAGAGAAGGCGACAGUCCGGGAGGAGCCCGCAGCGCCAUCCGCGCAAUCCCUGAGAUUUAUCCAGGGCAGAUCCCUAGCAAGAUGAGGCCUCCCUGGUCUAUGGGAAGCAGUCCUCCCACCCUCAGCCUGGCACCCAGAGCCUCCUCCACAGACGGCUCCAGAGAUGUUCCCUGCUGUAUUAGUCCAUUCUCGCACUGCUG